GACGAACGCUGGCGGCGUGCUUAACACAUGCAAGUCGAACGGAAAGGCCCUGCUUUUGUGGGGUGCUCGAGUGGCGAACGGGUGAGUAACACGUGAGUAACCUGCCCUUGACUUUGGGAUAACUUCAGGAAACUGGGGCUAAUACCGGAUAGGAGCUCCUGCUGCAUGGUGGGGGUUGGAAAGUUUCGGCGGUUUGGGAUGGACUCGCGGCUUAUCAGCUGGUUGGUGGGGUAGUGGCAUACCAAGGCUUUGACGGGUGGCCGGCCUGAGAGGGUGGCCGGCCACAUUGGGACUGAGAUACGGCCCAGACUCCUACGGGAGGCAGCAGUGGGGAAUAUUGCACAAUGGGCGGAAGCCUGAUGCAGCAACGCCGCGUGCGGGAUGACGGCCUUCGGGUUGUAAACCGCUUUCGCCUGUGACGAAGCGUGAGUGACGGUAAUGGGUAAAGAAGCACCGGCUAACUACGUG
This 468-nucleotide ribosomal RNA is filed under the name uncultured bacterium. RNAcentral describes it as "partial 16S ribosomal RNA". It matches the Rfam family "Bacterial small subunit ribosomal RNA", at positions 28 to 507 of the family's 1533-position model. The record is from RNAcentral.